Molecule: long non-coding RNA, 112 nt
Organism: Cucurbita moschata (crookneck pumpkin)
Lineage: Eukaryota; Viridiplantae; Streptophyta; Magnoliopsida; Cucurbitales; Cucurbitaceae
Exons: 3
Source: RefSeq, a predicted model, not a curated record
AGGGUGUCAAUAUGUCCGAGUGGUUAAGGAGACAGACUCGAUAUCUGUUGGGCUAUGCCUACGCAGGUUUGAAUCCUGCUGUUGAUAAAUUUUUAGUAUAUGUCCGAGAGGU